GUGUGUGCAUGCAUGCAAGUGCAUGCUCAUGUGCAUGUGUGUAGUUUGGAGAGCCACAUAUGGAUUGAUUUAAAUAUGUUGUUUCCACACGUCACAGACAUUCAAUAAUUAUACAUGAUCAUACACAGAAGCAACCAAGGGGUGUCAAAGUCAAUUGAAGUUCACAUGAUAUCCAGAUUCAAUAGGACUAAUUACCAACCAGGCCUAUUUGCAUUCACCCUCAUGUUGUUCUUUUUAAAUUACCUGCUUCAGCUUUGUUCAGCUUUAUUGAGCAAAAAAAAUCAAUGGUUAGUUAUGUACUGAGAUAUACAGUUGAAGAAGCAACCAGCAGUUGUUACACACAUUUUUGUACUUAUACAUUAAUGAUAUGUACUAGGAGUGAAACGGUACGUGUAUUCGUAUUGAACCGUUCGGUACAGGGUCCACGGCGCACGGUUCGGUACGCACUGCGAACCGAACAAUACAUUAAUCAUAAAUUAUAGCGAGGGGGGAAAAAAUCUAUAUAUAUUUCAUUGUAAAAAAAUAUAUAUUAUUGCGUAAACCAAUGGCGUGUAAAUUAACGUGGGAAAAAUAUCCACAUAGUAAUAAAGUUGUUUCGUCUCGUAGCUGUAUGCAGCUCCGCUCAUUAGUUAUUUCACUCCAGCGAGAACAGAGCUGAGAGACUGAGAGACAAAUCAAGCAGCAAUUAGCUUAUGAAGGAACAGAGCUGAGAGACCGUCGUAGCGGCAAUUAGCUUAUGAAGGAAUUAGCAGUAAGCUAAAUGCAAAGGAGCAACAUGGCAAGCAUUGGCGAGCCAGAACUAAAAGACGCCCCAGUAUCAUUCAGGUCUGCUGUCUGAGAACAUUUCGGUUUCCCUGUAAACUAUAACGGGAUUGCCAAAGAUUGGUGGAUAAAACUUCUACAACAUGUAGGCUCUGUCCAUUGCCGAUUGCCUAUUCAAGUGGCAAUACGAGUAACAUGACUACUCAUUUGCCCCGACAUCACCCCAAAGUGCCAAAUGGUGGGACUAGGCCAAAAAUGACACAGCAACCACUUCUCCCCACAGCCUUCAUGCAACAGUAUGCUGCUGACUCCGGUAGGGCUAAAGAAAUCAACGCAGAGAUAGCAAAAUUCAUGGCGGCAGAUAUGAGACCCUUCUCUGUGGUAGAAAAUGCAGGGUUCGGAAACAUGUUUAAAGUGGUCAAGCCGCGCUUCACUAUUCCUUCCCCUACACAUUUUGCCCAGACAUUAAUACCUGCCUUAUACAAAAAAACUAAAGAACAACUUGACAGUGAGUUGUCAGAAAUGCGGUCUGUUGCUCCUAACAACAGACAGUUGGACGUCUAGAGCUACAGAGAGCUACCUUACUGUAACGGCUCAUUUCAUUACGUCAGAGGGAGAGAUAAAAAGCCAUGUCCUUCAAACACGUCCCCUUGACAGGAGUCACACCAGUGUAAACUUGGGGGAAGAGCUAAGGGAAGUUGUUGGAGAGGGAUAAUGUAACGAUUCCUAUGACCGCUGACAACUAGAAAAAUUGUAAAUGCAGUUGCACUAGCUGGAUUGGGGCCACAGAUAGGAUGCUUUGCUCACGUUAUUAAUCUAGAAUCUCAAAAAGCAAUGUCAGUGAAUCCAAUCUCUCGCUUCCUAGCAAAGAUCAGGAAGGUGGUAUCCUUCUUUCAUAAAAGCACAACUGCUGCACAUGUUUUCAAGACAAAACAGGAGAUGCUGGAGCUGCCAAACCACAAACUAAUCCAAGAUGUUCCUACUAGAUGGAAUUCAAGCCAUGACAUGGCUGAGAGAUACCUUGAGCAGAAAGUUGCGGUGUAUUCUACACUGACUGAUCAAGCUGUGAGGAUGAAUGUCAAAGAUAUUGUGACUGUCUGAAAAUAACAUAAGACUAGCAGAGGAAGUUAUCAAAGUGUGCAAACCUCUCAAAACAGUCACAACACUGAUAUGCACUGAGAGCCUUCCAUCAGUUUCCAUGGUCCUGCCUAUGAAAACAAUGAUCCUGAAAUCAAUGGUGUCAUCUGAUGAAGAUGAACCCGCAUUAAGGGAUGUCAAGACUGCUAAUCAGAGUUAACCUGGAGCCUAGAUAUGCUGGCCGUGGUGUCCAAGACUUCUUACACAAGAGCACCGCUUUGAACCCCCGGUUCAAGUCCCUGCUGCACCUGGAUGCUGCUGCUCGUCAGAGUCUACAAUGAACUCACAGCAGAGAUUUUGACCAAUAUACAACAAGGUCAAGCCACAGAUACCACAGGAGCCAACCCCUCUCCAGAGACGGCAGACGACAGGGGUUCUCCUCCAGAAAAAAAGUCUGCCAUGGUUGAGCUUUUUGGUGAGUUGUUCACGACCCAGGAGCAGGGAACCAAGUCAAGGUCAUAGAGGAGGAGGUGACCUCAUACAGGGAGUGGACUGUAUUCCCCUGGAUGCUGAUCCACUUACAUGGUGGAAGACCAAAGAGUUAAUAUACCCUCAGGUUACCAUGUUAGCAAGACACUACCUGGCUGUGCCUGGGACCUCUGUCCCUAGCGAGCGGGUAUUCUCCACAGUGGCUGACAUUGUCACAGCAAGCCGAUCUGUGCUCACUGCAGAUAAUGUGGAUAGACUAAUGUUCUUAAAGAAAAACUUGAAAAUCUGAUAAAGUUACAUUUUUUUCAAGUAACCAGUCUCAAGUGGUCCUAUUUUGUUUAAGGCACUGCUAUGUGACUUAAUGUUGAUAUAUGCUGCUGGACUAUGCACUCUUGUUGAAGUUCUGUUUUAAAUGACUUUUAUUUCAUGUUAUAAGGCAGGCACUGCUGUUUUUUGUUGUCCCUUUGUUUCCAUAUGCUCCUGGGAAUUCAAGCCAGCUGUAACGAGUGCGCUGAGAGUCGGGAAGCAAGUUCAGGGAGUGAAAACAUUUCAUUAGUAAAUCAAGAAACACAAACGGCCCACCGACAUAAAACAGGAACAAUGACGACUGGGGAAGAAACCAAAGGGAGUGACAUAUAAAGGGCAGGUAAUCAAUGAGGUGAUGGAGUCCAGGUGAGUGUCAUUAUGCACCUAACGCUGGUGACAGGUGUGUGUGCCCUAACAAGCAGCCUGGUGACCUAGAGGCUGGAGAGGGAGAACACGUGACACUACCCAUGUAUACUAUUAUAAUAAAUGGAAA
This 3127-nucleotide long non-coding RNA is filed under the name Salmo salar (Atlantic salmon). RNAcentral's name for it is "lncRNA (ENSSSAG00000105307.1)". The record is from RNAcentral. Lineage: Eukaryota; Metazoa; Chordata; Actinopteri; Salmoniformes; Salmonidae.